This 165-nucleotide ribosomal RNA is filed under the name Thelesperma pubescens var. caespitosum. RNAcentral describes it as "5.8S ribosomal RNA". The record is from RNAcentral. Lineage: Eukaryota; Viridiplantae; Streptophyta; Magnoliopsida; Asterales; Asteraceae.
GGAAGGCUUCGGGCGCAACUUGCGUUCAAAAACUCGAUGGUUCACGGGAUUCUGCAAUUCACACCAAGUAUCGCAUUUUGCUACGUUCUUCAUCGAUGCGUGAGCCGAGAUAUCCGUUGCCGAGAGUCGUUUAGUGUUACAAAAAGGCCACGUGCAACGCGCUUA